GAUGAACGCUAGCUACAGGCUUAACACAUGCAAGUCGAGGGGAAACGAUAGAGAAAGCUUGCUUUUUCUAGGCGUCGACCGGCGCACGGGUGAGUAACGCGUAUCCAACCUGCCCAUCACUUGGGGAUAACCUUGCGAAAGUAAGACUAAUACCCAAUGAUAUCUCUAGAAGACAUCUGAAGUAGAUUAAAGAUUUAUCGGUGAUGGAUGGGGAUGCGGCUGAUUAGCUUGUUGGCGGGGUAACUGCUCACCAAGGCGACGAUCAGUUGGGGUUCUGCGAUGAAGGUCCCCCACAUUGGAACUGCGACACGGGCCAAACUCAUAGGGGAGGCAGCAGUGAGGAAUCUUGGUACAUGGGCGAGAGCCUGAACCAGCCGAGUAGCGUGCAGGAUGACGGCCCUAUGGGUUGUAAACUGCUUUUAUAAGGGGAUAAGGUGAGCCUCGUGAGGCUUUUUGCAUGUACCUUAGGAAUAAGGACCGGCUAAGUCCGUGGCAGCCGCCGCAGUAA
This 508-nucleotide ribosomal RNA is filed under the name uncultured bacterium. RNAcentral describes it as "partial 16S ribosomal RNA". It matches the Rfam family "Bacterial small subunit ribosomal RNA", at positions 28 to 523 of the family's 1533-position model. The record is from RNAcentral.